CCUACGGGAGGCAGCAGUGGGGAAUAUUGCACAAUGGGGGAAACACUGAUGCAGCGACGCCGCGUGAGUGAAGAAGUAUUUCGGUAUGUAAAGCUCUAUCAGCAGGGAAGAAAAUGACGGUACCUGAUUAAGAAGCCCCGGCUAACUACGUGCCAGCAGCCGCGGUAAUACGUAGGGGGCGAGCGUUAUCCGGAUUUACUGGGUGUAAAGGGAACGUAGACGGCAGCACAAGUAGAGAGUGAAAGGCCGGGGCUUAACCCUGGUACUGCUAUGGAAACUGUGCAGCUAGAGUGCAGGAGAGGUUAGCAGAAUUCCUGGUGUAGCGGGGAAAUGCGUAGAUAUUAGGAGGAAUACCAGUGGCGAAGGCGGCUUACUGGACUGUAACUGACGUUGAGGCUCGAAAGCGUGGGGAGCAAACAGGAUUAGAUACCCCAGUAGUC
This 440-nucleotide ribosomal RNA is filed under the name uncultured bacterium. RNAcentral describes it as "partial 16S ribosomal RNA". It matches the Rfam family "Bacterial small subunit ribosomal RNA", at positions 338 to 795 of the family's 1533-position model. The record is from RNAcentral.